This 2139-nucleotide long non-coding RNA is filed under the name Malus domestica (apple). RNAcentral's name for it is "long non-coding RNA (MDOM_LNC000356)". Lineage: Eukaryota; Viridiplantae; Streptophyta; Magnoliopsida; Rosales; Rosaceae. The record is from RNAcentral.
UUUGGAUAUACUAAAAAAUAUCCUAACCUUUGAUAGGAGCAUAUUUAUACGACUUAGUUAGCUUGUUUUCUUGCAUUUAAUUAGCUAAACUAUGUUAAUUAUAGUGUUUAAAGUUAUUUUCGGGCAAUUUCAGGUUUUAGUGUCAAAGUAUGCAAAAAGAAGCAAUUUGGAGCAUUCUAGAGCAUUUUUGGGCCAAGAUUGGAUAGUGCAAGCAUGGAGGCAUGAGGAUGGACGAAUUUGAAAGGCUUGAAUUCACUUAGGGAGCUGCAAGGGGGCCUAAAAACCUGAUUUCUAGAAGGCUACAUUAGUGCCACAUGUUUUUAGACCUUGUUCUUCUAGAAAUCAGCCAUAUAAGCAUUCCUUCUAGAAGGCUUUAUCUAUUCACACAUGGUGCCUAAUUUCUGCCUAAUUUAUGGUACAAAACCUUAUUUCUAGAAGGCUUUAUCUAUUCACACAUGGUGCCUAAUUUCUGCCUAAUUUCUGGUACAAAACCUUUUGGUUUCAACUAAGUUCUAAACCUUUCCUAGCCCUAUAAAUAAGGCUUUGCAGCAAGGCACUAAGGGGGAUCACUCAUUCACCCAAUUUUCGUCCAUUCAUCCAGCCACACCACUCUACACAUCCUAAAAUCCUAGAAACACAAUUCCAGCCACUUUUACCACCUUUGCCGUAACCUUCCAUCCAAGCAACCAUUCAACCACCAUAACCACCUUGUGCCGCCACCAUUGAAGGAGAGGAGGAGUAGUGCCGUGCAGUCCAAAGGAAGGAAGAAACCUUGCACAUGCAAUCUGCAACUAUUGGAGUGUUUGGAGUUCUUUCUUCUCUUGGUUUUGUUUUCAUGUUUAAUUUAACUUGCUGUUCAAUUAUGUUAAACAUGUGGAACUAAUUUCUUUUUAGUUAGAGGCGAAUUUGAAGCCAUGGACAUAUGUUGGUUAUGAUUUGAUUUACUCCAGUUAUGAAUUCAUGAGCUUUAGAUGUGGUUUACUUUUCUGUUUUGAUUAAGAACUUGUUUAUGUAUGUGGGUUGAGGGUCGACACUUAAUUUGCAUGCCUAAACUUGAUGCUAGGAUAUAAGGGAAUUUCACCUAAUCGUUAUGAACUUAUAUUCAUGAGUAGUAAAGAUCGCUAGUCACGAUUGUGUUUAAGUAAACCCUAGGCUGGAUUAACAUGCGUAUUCCAUAGUUAUGAAUGCCUAGUCGAUGUUUAUGAUUUCCGUUGAACUUAAUGAUCUUUGUUGAAUGUCUCUAUCAUGCGUAUUCCAUAGUUAGGGACUCUGAUGAGGAAUAAUUUGGUUGUAAUGCGUAUCCCAUUCAAUCCAAUGAAUCUAGUGAAAUCUGAAAGUUAAUUUAAGCGGACCUAAUUAACUUGGAGCAUUGUCAUUCAUCGUUUGUUGAAGUCAUAACUGGGAAUCAAAUUAUAUGCAUCUGUUCAUUUGUGGAUAAGGAACCCUCUAACUAGUUUCUCAUCAUUCUAUUUCAUCACAAUCUGUUUUGUUUGAAGUUUGUUUACAAGUCUCUGUUUUAAAUUCAAUUUCGUCAAAAUCAAUCCCCCAUUUAUUUUGAAAUGUUAGAAUAGUUAGAAAUCAAGUUAAUUUGUGUUUUUAAGUGUCUUGAGUCAAGUUAUAACAUAUUUUCGUCCAAACUAGUGUUUGUGCUCAAAACUGCCCAGAAAGUGAUUUUAAGGCAGUUUUGAGUGUUUCUGUGUUGUUUUGAGUCUUUUGGUUUGUUUAAGUGUUUUAAACCCUAGUUUUGCAUUCUUUGAGUCUAGUUUAGUGUUCUAAAUUAUGUUUUUACGUUUUUGAGUCAGUUUCACAUUGAUUAGCAUCCCUAGUUAAUCCCCGGUCUAGAACGAUCCCUACUUGCAUCAUUACUACAAUUGUCAUCAAUAGGGUUUAAUUUGUGUGUCAAGUAAUUCUCACAUCAACCUUGAAGAAAAAUAAGAUAUAUCCUUAAUUUCAUUAAUACCAUUAAAGAAGGAAUCAAAUUAUCAAAUUACCCAUUCAACCGUAAAAUAUAUAGUCAUGCACUAUAGGAACAUAUAUAGUAUCCCACAUGCCUAUAUGUAUAACCUAUUUACAUGCCUUAUGCAAACCUAUAUGAUAAACAUGAAAAAGAAAAGCUAAAAGAACAAAAUAGUUUGCAAG